UAGGGAAUUUUGCGCAAUGGGCGAAAGCCUGACGCAGCAACGCCGCGUGAUCGUAGAAGCCCUUCGGGGUGUAAAGAUCUGUCAGUAGGGACGAACAAUGACUGUACCUACAGAGGAAGCACCGGCUAACUCCGUGCCAGCAGCCGCGGUAAUACGGGGGGUGCAAGCGUUGUCCGGAAUCAUUGGGCGUAAAGAGUUCGUAGGUGGUUUGUUAAGUUUGGUGUUAAAGGCGCAGGCUCAACCUGUGUAUGGCAUCGGAUACUGGCAGACUAGAAUGCGGUAGAGGUAAAGGGAAUUUCUGGUGUAGCGGUGAAAUGCUUAGAUAUCAGGAAGAACAUCGGUGGCGUAAGCGCUUUACUGGGCCGUAAUUGACACUGAGGAACGAAAGCCGGGGUAGCAAAUGGGA
RNAcentral lists this ribosomal RNA (406 nucleotides) under uncultured bacterium. RNAcentral's name for it is "bacterial SSU rRNA". It matches the Rfam family "Bacterial small subunit ribosomal RNA", at positions 355 to 777 of the family's 1533-position model. The record is from RNAcentral.